RNAcentral lists this ribosomal RNA (497 nucleotides) under uncultured bacterium. RNAcentral describes it as "partial 16S ribosomal RNA". It matches the Rfam family "Bacterial small subunit ribosomal RNA", at positions 28 to 507 of the family's 1533-position model. The record is from RNAcentral.
GAUGAACGCUGGCGGCGUGCCUAAUACAUGCAAGUCGAGCGAACGGACGAGAAGCUUGCUUCUCUGAUGUUAGCGGCGGACGGGUGAGUAACACGUGGAUAACCUACCUAUAAGACUGGGAUAACUUCGGGAAACCGGAGCUAAUACCGGCUAAUAUUUUGAACCGCAUGGUUCAAAAGUGAAAGCCGGUCUUGCUGUCACUUAUAGAUGGAUCCGCGCUGCAUUAGCUAGUUGGUAAGGUAACGGCUUACCAAGGCAACGAUGCAUAGCCGACCUGAGAGGGUGAUCAGCCACACUGGAACUGAGACACGGUCCAGACUCCUACGGGAGGCAGCAGUAGGGAAUCUUCCGCAAUGGGCGAAAGCCUGACGGAGCAACGCCGCGUGAGUGAUGAAGGUCUUCGGAUCGUAAAACGCUGUUAUUAGGGAAGAACAUAUGUGUAAGUAACUGUGCACAUCUUGACGGUACCGAAUCAGAAAGCCACGGCUAACUACGUG